UACGAAGGGGGCUAGCGUUGCUCGGAAUCACUGGGCGUAAAGCGCACGUAGGCGGCUUCUUAAGUCAGGGGUGAAAUCCUGGAGCUCAACUCCAGAACUGCCUUUGAUACUGAGCAGCUUGAGUCCGGGAGAGGUGAGUGGAACUGCGAGUGUAGAGGUGAAAUUCGUAGAUAUUCGCAAGAACACCAGUGGCGAAGGCGACUUCCUGGCCUGUUCUUGACGCUGAGGCGCGAAAGCUAGGGUAGCAAACGGG
RNAcentral lists this ribosomal RNA (253 nucleotides) under uncultured bacterium. RNAcentral describes it as "partial 16S ribosomal RNA". It matches the Rfam family "Bacterial small subunit ribosomal RNA", at positions 524 to 776 of the family's 1533-position model. The record is from RNAcentral.